This 497-nucleotide ribosomal RNA is filed under the name uncultured bacterium. RNAcentral describes it as "partial 16S ribosomal RNA". It matches the Rfam family "Bacterial small subunit ribosomal RNA", at positions 28 to 507 of the family's 1533-position model. The record is from RNAcentral.
GAUGAACGCUGGCGGCGUGCCUAAUACAUGCAAGUCGAGCGAACAGACGAGGAGCUUGCUCCUCUGACGUUAGCGGCGGACGGGUGAGUAACACGUGGAUAACCUACCUAUAAGACUGGGAUAACUUCGGGAAACCGGAGCUAAUACCGGAUAAUAUAUUGAACCGCAUGGUUCAAUAGUGAAAGACGGUUUUGCUGUCACUUAUAGAUGGAUCCGCGCCGCAUUAGCUAGUUGGUAAGGUAACGGCUUACCAAGGCAACGAUGCGUAGCCGACCUGAGAGGGUGAUCGGCCACACUGGAACUGAGACACGGUCCAGACUCCUGCGGGAGGCAGCAGUAGGGAAUCUUCCGCAAUGGGCGAAAGCCUGACGGAGCAACGCCGCGUGAGUGAUGAAGGUCUUCGGAUCGUAAAACUCUGUUAUUAGGGAAGAACAAAUGUGUAAGUAACUAUGCACGCCUUGACGGUACCUAAUCAGAAAGCCACGGCUAACUACGUG